RNAcentral lists this ribosomal RNA (446 nucleotides) under uncultured bacterium. RNAcentral's name for it is "partial 16S ribosomal RNA". It matches the Rfam family "Bacterial small subunit ribosomal RNA", at positions 338 to 795 of the family's 1533-position model. The record is from RNAcentral.
CCUACGGGGGGCAGCAGUAGGGAAUUUUCGGCAAUGGGGGGAACCCUGACCGAGCAACGCCGCGUGAACGAAGAAGUUAUUCGUAAUGUAAAGUUCUUUUAACAGGGAAGAAAGAGAAAUUUGACGGUACCUGAAGAAUAAGCUCCGGCUAACUACGUGCCAGCAGCCGCGGUAAUACGUAGGGAGAGAGCGUUAUCGGGAAUUAUUGGGCGUAAAGGGUGCGUAGAUGGCAUAUUAAGUCGUUUGUAAAAAUGCUGGGCUCAACCCAGUAGGGCAAAAGAUACUGUACAGCUAGAGUAUGACAGAGGCAAGUGGAACUACAUGUGUAGCGGUAAAAUGCGUAGAUAUAUGUAAGAACACCAGUGGCGAAGGCGGCUUGCGGGGUCGAUACUGACGUUGAGGCACGAAAGCGUGGGGAGCAAACAGGAUUAGAUACCCCUGUAGUC